RNAcentral lists this ribosomal RNA (474 nucleotides) under Mesenchytraeus flavus. RNAcentral's name for it is "partial 16S ribosomal RNA". It matches the Rfam family "Bacterial large subunit ribosomal RNA", at positions 1817 to 2596 of the family's 2925-position model. Lineage: Eukaryota; Metazoa; Annelida; Clitellata; Enchytraeida; Enchytraeidae. The record is from RNAcentral.
UGCUUCUUGCACAUAAUAAGAAGUAAUCUCCUGCCCAGUGAAUAAUAUUUUAACGGCCGCGGUAUCCUAACCGUGCAAAGGUAGCAUAAUAAUUUGUCCAUUAAUUGUGGACUAGAAUGAAAGGGGUAACGAAAUAAGAACUGUCUCAAUAAAACAAAUAUAAACUAAUAUCCAAGUGAAGAAGCUUAGAUACUAUUAAAGGACAAGAAGACCCUAUAGAGCUUUAUCUUUUUAUGUUCAAACAAACAAAGAUUCGGUUGGGGCGACCAUGGAUAAUUCAUCCAUAAUUUUUAAGAUUAACAAAUCAAUCAAUAGAUCCUUUUAAGAUCAUAGAAUCAAGCUACCUUAGGGAUAACAGGCUAAUCCUAUUAAAGAGCUCUUAUCGACAAUAGGGAUUGGCACCUCGAUGUUGGCUUAGAAUAUCUUUAAGGCGCAGAAGUCUUAUAAAGAGGGUUUGUUCAACCCGUAAUAUUC